GGAGCGGUAGUUCAGUUGGUCAAGAAUUCCGGCCUGUCAAGCCGGGGGUCGCGGGUUCAAGUCCCGUCCGCUCCGCCA
RNAcentral lists this transfer RNA (78 nucleotides) under Acidiferrobacterales bacterium. RNAcentral's name for it is "tRNA-Asp". It matches the Rfam family "tRNA". From Rfam's summary of the family: Transfer RNA (tRNA) molecules are approximately 80 nucleotides in length. Their secondary structure includes four short double-helical elements and three loops (D, anti-codon, and T loops). Further hydrogen bonds mediate the characteristic L-shaped molecular structure. tRNAs have two regions of fundamental functional importance: the anti-codon, which is responsible for specific mRNA codon recognition, and the 3' end, to which the tRNAs corresponding amino acid is attached (by aminoacyl-tRNA synthetases). tRNAs cope with the degeneracy of the genetic code in two manners: having more than one tRNA (with a specific anti-codon) for a particular amino acid; and 'wobble' base-pairing, i.e. permitting non-standard base-pairing at the 3rd anti-codon position. The record is from RNAcentral. RNAcentral also lists the same sequence under 1 other name. Lineage: Bacteria; Pseudomonadati; Pseudomonadota; Gammaproteobacteria; Acidiferrobacterales.